This 147-nucleotide unclassified non-coding RNA is filed under the name uncultured fungus. Its description in RNAcentral is "sequence contains ITS1". The record is from RNAcentral. Lineage: Eukaryota; Fungi.
AGAGAAAACCGUCGGCGCAAGCCGGCUUAAUCUACCCACACACACCUGUGAACCGUUAUAUCCGGGAUGAGGAUUAGCCUCGUGCGAAACCGUCCCAUUUACAAAACGUCUUAUAAUGUCAUGAACGUAGUCUUAUUUUAACAAAUA